This 432-nucleotide ribosomal RNA is filed under the name uncultured bacterium. RNAcentral describes it as "partial 16S ribosomal RNA". It matches the Rfam family "Bacterial small subunit ribosomal RNA", at positions 29 to 506 of the family's 1533-position model. The record is from RNAcentral.
AACGAACGCUGGCGGCAUGCCUAACACAUGCAAGUCGAACGAGACCUUCGGGUCUAGUGGCGCACGGGUGCGUAACGCGUGGGAACCUGCCCUUAGGUUCGGAAUAACUCCCCGAAAGGGGUGCUAAUACCGGAUAAUGUCUUCGGACCAAAGAUUUAUCGCCUUUGGAUGGGCCCGCGUUGGAUUAGCUAGUUGGUAGGGUAAAAGCCUACCAAGGCGACGAUCCAUAGCUGGUCUGAGAGGAUGAUCAGCCACACUGGGACUGAGACACGGCCCAGACUCCUACGGGAGGCAGCAGUGGGGAAUAUUGGACAAUGGGCGAAAGCCUGAUCCAGCAAUGCCGCGUGAAUGAUGAAGGCCUUAGGGUUGUAAAGCUCUUUUACCCGGGAUGAUAAUGACAGAACCGGGAGAAUAAGCUCCGGCUAACUCCGU